RNAcentral lists this long non-coding RNA (247 nucleotides) under Pan troglodytes (chimpanzee). Its description in RNAcentral is "lncRNA (ENSPTRG00000053203.1)". Lineage: Eukaryota; Metazoa; Chordata; Mammalia; Primates; Hominidae. The record is from RNAcentral.
CCAUGAAUUACGGAAACUUUCUUUACUGGCACAUUGUAAUAUUUAAUUUCUUAACAGUGUGCAGAUGACGUCUCUCCACCCCCUCAACUUAUGUCAUCCAGGAGUCAAAGGAGAACAAAGGCCAAGAACUAUAUGUUUAAAACCCUUAACAACAACAACAACAACAAAAUCAAUAAGGCAGCUCAACGAAAUAAUUCAGCACGAGAUCGCUAUUAAAAUCAAUUUACCUGGCAGUGAGAACAACUAA